Molecule: transfer RNA, 707 nt
Filed under: uncultured Prochlorococcus sp.
Lineage: Bacteria; Bacillati; Cyanobacteriota; Cyanophyceae; Synechococcales; Prochlorococcaceae
Description: partial 16S-23S ribosomal RNA intergenic spacer; may also contain 16S ribosomal RNA and 23S ribosomal RNA
Rfam family: tRNA (bases 162-234)
Source: RNAcentral
AUCUGAGUGAUUAGUUAUUGAAAACUACCGAAUUCAGUUCUUAAACUUUGUCUAGGUCACACCCCAUAAGGGUACUCCUGGGCCAUUAGCUCAGGUGGUUAGAGCGCACCCCUGAUAAGGGUGAGGUCCCUGGUUCAAGUCCAGGAUGGCCCAUUCGUGUUGGGGGUAUAGCUCAGUUGGUAGAGCGCCUGCUUUGCAAGCAGGAUGUCAGCGGUUCGAGUCCGCUUACCUCCACUGAUCCACUUUCUGAUAACGAAGUUCAAGGAGAUUAUUCUUGGAUAGGUGAUCUAGAUUUUGUUCUCUACAUAAAUGAACCUAGCUUCUUGUCAUCCUUAAUUUAGAAUUUUUUCUAAAUUAAUAGUUGAUAGGACGCUGGGCUCCCUGCAUUGAAUUGCAGAGAUGUUCAGUAGAACCUUGACAACUGCAUAGGUGAGUCUGGAAAGAAUAAAAGCAUCUCAUGGAUACAUUAUUCUUUCAAAUUAAAAACUAACUAUUUAGAUUAAAUUGUUAGUAAAUUUGAAAUUAUGAUGAUUAAUUCUUGAGCAAGAGCCGAGACUCUAGGUGGACUUUCAUUUUAUUAAAUGCGAGUUAGAUUCUUUAUUUUUUCUAGGUUUUAUAUAGUAAAUUUUACUAUUAAAGGAAUAGAGAAAUAAAGGAGAAAGGUGUUGACAACACUAUUCUGCUAGAGAUUAAUGGUCAAGCUACAA